GAUGAACGCUGGCGGUAUGCUUAACACAUGCAAGUCGAACGGACUCUUCGGAGUUAGUGGCGGACGGGUGAGUAACGCGUGAGAAUCUGGCUUUGGGUUCGGGACAACCACUGGAAACGGUGGCUAAUACCGGAUGUGCCGAGAGGUAAAAGAGAAAUUGCCUGAAGAUGAGCUCGCGUCUGAUUAGCUAGUUGGUGAGGUAAAGGCUCACCAAGGCAGCGAUCAGUAGCUGGUCUGAGAGGAUGACCAGCCACACUGGGACUGAGACACGGCCCAGACUACUACGGGAGGCAGCAGUGGGGAAUUUUCCGCAAUGGGCGAAAGCCUGACGGAGCAAUACCGCGUGAGGGAAGAAGGCUCUUGGGUUGUAAACCUCUUUUCCUAGGGAAGAACAAAAUGACGGUACCUAAGGAAUCAGCAUCGGCUAACUCCGUG
RNAcentral lists this ribosomal RNA (435 nucleotides) under uncultured bacterium. Its description in RNAcentral is "partial 16S ribosomal RNA". It matches the Rfam family "Bacterial small subunit ribosomal RNA", at positions 28 to 507 of the family's 1533-position model. The record is from RNAcentral.